UUUGGACGAACUACACGUCUACACACGAACACAAUUACACAAAACCCUUCCCCAACCCUGAAAGAUUGAAAAAAAAAAAAGUCUAGUCCGAUGCUCUACUCCAUUCGCCAUCGCCUCCACAUGGCGUCGUCUUCUUCCUCCUCCUCCCCCGCACGAACCCUUCUCCCUGCAAAUCCCUCUCCCUAUCCUCCUCCGCCACCACCCCCAAUCCCCUAGCCCUAACCUACCUCAUCGACUCCUGCGGCUUGUCCCCCGAAUCCGCCAUUUCCGCAUCCCAGAAGCUCCGCUUCAAGAGCACCGAGAACCCUAAUGCCGUUCUCCGCCUCCUCCGCGACUACGGCUUCGGCGUGACCCACAUCUCCAAGCUCAUCUCCAGGUUCCCGGCCGUGCUUUCCAGCGACCCCCACAGCACCCUCCGGCGGAAGCUCGACGCUCUUCGGCGAGUCGCUGGCGCGCGUCGUCACCGCCCAACCCAUGCUGCUGAAGCGGAGCCUGAAGAAGCACAUCAUCUUCUUUGGGAUUUUAUAGCAUUGAAGCCACAAGUAGGAUUUGCUGUUCUACAUUUCAAGAAUGCUCCGCUGGAGCUUUUCAAUCUCCAUUUCUUAACUUUCCUACUUGAUGUUCAGCAUUUCAAGAAAGUUCAACGGGAGCUUUUCACUCUCUAUUUUCUUAGUUUUCUAACAUUUUGAGUUCAGAUAAAUUUUCUUUUGCAUUGAUUUCUAUUAAAGUAUAAAAAAUUAUUUCGUUGCA
Molecule: long non-coding RNA, 750 nt
Organism: Ananas comosus (pineapple)
Lineage: Eukaryota; Viridiplantae; Streptophyta; Magnoliopsida; Poales; Bromeliaceae
Exons: 2
Source: RefSeq, a predicted model, not a curated record